CACGCAGGCGGUCUGUCAAGUCGGAUGCGAAAUCCCCGGGCUCAACCUGGGAACUGCAUUCGAAACUGGCAGGCUAGAGUCUUGUAGAGGGGGGUAGAAUUCCAGGUGUAGCGGUGAAAUGCGUAGAGAUCUGGAGGAAUACCGGUGGCGAAGGCGGCCCCUGGACAAAGACUGACGCUCAGGUGCGAAAGCGUGGGGAGCAAACA
RNAcentral lists this ribosomal RNA (206 nucleotides) under uncultured bacterium. Its description in RNAcentral is "partial 16S ribosomal RNA". It matches the Rfam family "Bacterial small subunit ribosomal RNA", at positions 568 to 774 of the family's 1533-position model. The record is from RNAcentral.